ACGGGGGCAUUGCCCAGUAACGGCGAGUGAAGCGGCAAAAGCUCAAUUUUGAAAUCCCCCCGGGGAGUUGUAAUUUGAAGACUAGGGGAUUUGGCCCAAACCUGCGCAAGUCCAUUGGAACAUGGCGCCCAAGAGGGUGAGAGCCCCGUCGCGCAGGCCGCAGCCUUGACAUCCCCCCGUCAAAGAGUCGAGUUGUUUGGGAAUGCAGCUCAAAGUGGGUGGUAAAUUCCAUCUAAAGCUAAAUAUUGGCGAGAGACCGAUAGCGAACAAGUACAGUGAUGGAAAGAUGAAAAGCACUUUGAAAAGAGAGUGAAACAGUACGUGAAAUUGUUGAAAGGGAAGGGCUUGCAAGCAGACACGAGUUCGCUCGGGCCAGCAUCAAUUUCGCGAGGUGGACAACACGCCAGGAAUGUGGCAGGCUCCGGCCUGUGUUAUAGCCUGCGCGCCAUACACCUCCGCGAGAUUGAGGCCUGCUCCAAAAGGAUGCUGGCGUAAUGGUUGCAAGUCGCCCGUCUUGAAAMACGRAMCMAAAAAAA
RNAcentral lists this ribosomal RNA (536 nucleotides) under Helenozyma melibiosica. RNAcentral's name for it is "[Candida] melibiosica partial large subunit ribosomal RNA". It matches the Rfam family "Eukaryotic large subunit ribosomal RNA", at positions 68 to 664 of the family's 3401-position model. The record is from RNAcentral. Lineage: Eukaryota; Fungi; Ascomycota; Pichiomycetes; Serinales; Metschnikowiaceae.